UACGGAGGAUGCAAGCGUUAUCCGGAAUGAUUGGGCGUAAAGCGUCCGCAGGUGGCCAUGUAAGUCUGCUGUUAAAGCGUGAGGCUCAACCUCAUAAGAGCAGUGGAAACUACAUAGCUAGAGUGCGUUCGGGGCAAAGGGAAUUCCUGGUGUAGCGGUGAAAUGCGUAGAGAUCAGGAAGAACACCGGUGGCGAAAGCGCUUUGCUAGGCCGCAACUGACACUGAGGGACGAAAGCUAGGGGAGCGAAUGGG
RNAcentral lists this ribosomal RNA (253 nucleotides) under uncultured bacterium. RNAcentral describes it as "partial 16S ribosomal RNA". It matches the Rfam family "Bacterial small subunit ribosomal RNA", at positions 524 to 776 of the family's 1533-position model. The record is from RNAcentral.